RNAcentral lists this long non-coding RNA (420 nucleotides) under Setaria italica (foxtail millet). Its description in RNAcentral is "long non-coding RNA (SITA_LNC000608)". The record is from RNAcentral. Lineage: Eukaryota; Viridiplantae; Streptophyta; Magnoliopsida; Poales; Poaceae.
UAACUUUUCUAAGUGGGAAGCCAAACUUGUUGAUUAUAAAUCUAGUGAUAUAGUUGUUGGUUCAUUCUGUUCAAUUCUGAAGAACUUAUUUUUAAAAUUAUUAUGAAAACAUUUGUAUACUAUCGUUUGACCAUGAACCAUUCGCUUUACCAUUUCAAAAUUAGCUCCAUCAGGAACUUCCAAAUACGUCUCCUUCUUCUGUGAAUUUCUUAUUUGUUCCAUUAACAACACAGUGUAUGCACCCCGCAAGUUGAAUGCAAUUCAAUCAGUAAUUUAGGAUCAUCAUGUUUUCCUUUUAUUCUCAAUCACCAAUAUAUACAUGUUUACUGUUAACUAAUAUGUUAAGAUACUCAUGUGGAAUCUGUGUUUUAGCAUGCCCAUCAAUUUGUAAGAUCAUCCCCCUAUGUAUUGAAAUGCAUC